Molecule: long non-coding RNA, 675 nt
Filed under: Homo sapiens (human)
Lineage: Eukaryota; Metazoa; Chordata; Mammalia; Primates; Hominidae
Description: long non-coding RNA NONHSAT167827
Source: RNAcentral
AAAAAUUAAAGUUCUAUUUAUAAUUAUGAGACUAUGUUCAAAGCAGAAAAUAAUCUGUUGUAUAUAGAAACACAAACAUGUUUUUUAAAACUGAUUUCUAGUGAAAAUGAUUUGAGAUCAUCUUUAGAGGGCAGCAUCUAACUAGGGAAAGAGGUAUUUCAGGCUAAUAUGUUUGAGCCAUUGCAAUGGUUAUAUCUGGUUGUUGGAAGUUGAUAGCCUAUUAAAACAUCACCGAUUUCAUAAUUCCAAUAUCAGAAGACACUAAAUAACAGCAUCUGACAUUAGUCUCCAUGAAUAAUCCAGUUGAACGUGCACCUCAUUAAAUGUCACCUGUUCUUAAAGGCAUGUGUAUUUUUACAGUAGAUAUUACAGUAUCUCAGAACACAUUUAUUUUUACUCAAAGCAUGGUAAUACAUAGCAAUAGCAAUCUAGGCUUUAACCAAUAUGUAUUAUAAAAAUAAGAGUGGGAGAAUGAAUUUCCAAUAUAUUUUUUAAUCGUAUCAUAGCACAAUUUUUUUUAAUGCUGCAAAGGAAGAAGUAAAAUAAAUGAGGCUAUAUAUUCUUGUAAUCAAAUGAGACUAGGACUUUAAAACAUGGGUCUAAAGAGUAUUUUAUUCCAUAUCCUUUGCCUUAAAAUUAGAAAACAUAAAUGUUAGUUAAAAAUUACUGUGAAAU